This 465-nucleotide ribosomal RNA is filed under the name Vreelandella stevensii. Its description in RNAcentral is "partial 16S ribosomal RNA". It matches the Rfam family "Bacterial small subunit ribosomal RNA", at positions 338 to 795 of the family's 1533-position model. The record is from RNAcentral. Lineage: Bacteria; Pseudomonadati; Pseudomonadota; Gammaproteobacteria; Oceanospirillales; Halomonadaceae.
CCUACGGGUGGCAGCAGUGGGGAAUAUUGGACAAUGGGGGCAACCCUGAUCCAGCCAUGCCGCGUGUGUGAAGAAGGCCCUCGGGUUGUAAAGCACUUUCAGUGAGGAAGAACGCCUGGUGGUUAAUACCCAUCAGGAAAGACAUCACUCACAGAAGAAGCACCGGCUAACUCCGUGCCAGCAGCCGCGGUAAUACGGAGGGUGCGAGCGUUAAUCGGAAUUACUGGGCGUAAAGCGCGCGUAGGUGGCUUGAUAAGCCGGUUGUGAAAGCCCCGGGCUCAACCUGGGAACGGCAUCCGGAACUGUCAAGCUAGAGUGCAGGAGAGGAAGGUAGAAUUCCAGGUGUAGCGGUGAAAUGCGUAGAGAUCGGGAGGAAUACCAGUGGCGAAGGCGGCCUUCUGGACUGACACUGACACUGAGGUGCGAAAGCGUGGGUAGCAAACAGGAUUAGAUACCCCAGUAGUC